Molecule: ribosomal RNA, 440 nt
Filed under: uncultured bacterium
Lineage: Bacteria
Description: partial 16S ribosomal RNA
Rfam family: Bacterial small subunit ribosomal RNA
Source: RNAcentral
CCUACGGGGAGCUGCAGUGGGGAAUAUUGCACAAUGGGGGAAACCCUGAUGCAGCGACGCCGCGUGAGUGAAGAAGUAUCUCGGUACGUAAAGCUCUAUCAGCAGGAAAGAAAAGGACGGUACCUGACUAAGAAGCCCCGGCUAACUACGUGCCAGCAGCCGCGGAAAUACGUAGGGGGGAAGCGUUAUCCGGAUUUACUGGGGGUAAAGGGGGCGUAGACGGCGCUGCAAGUCCGGAGUGAAAGCCCAUGGCUUAACCAUGGUACUGCUCUGGAAACUGUAGAGCUUGAGUGCGGGAGGGGCAGGCGGAAUGCCUAGUGUAGCGGUGAAAUGCGUAGAUAUUACGAGGAACGCCGGCGGCGAAGGCGGCCUGCUGGACCGUAACUGACGUUGAGGCUCGAAAGCGUGGGGAGCAAACAGGAUUAGAUACCCGAGUAGUC